This 90-nucleotide transfer RNA is filed under the name Steroidobacter sp. RNAcentral describes it as "tRNA-Ser". It matches the Rfam family "tRNA". Rfam says of the family: Transfer RNA (tRNA) molecules are approximately 80 nucleotides in length. The record is from RNAcentral. Lineage: Bacteria; Pseudomonadati; Pseudomonadota; Gammaproteobacteria; Steroidobacterales; Steroidobacteraceae. RNAcentral also lists the same sequence under 2 other names.
GGAAGGGUGGCAGAGUGGUCGAUUGCACCGGUCUUGAAAACCGGCAGGGGCGCAAGCCUCUCGUGGGUUCGAAUCCCACCCCUUCCGCCA